This 1010-nucleotide unclassified non-coding RNA is filed under the name Zea mays. Its description in RNAcentral is "misc RNA Zm00001eb054720". Lineage: Eukaryota; Viridiplantae; Streptophyta; Magnoliopsida; Poales; Poaceae. The record is from RNAcentral.
CCACGGCCCACCCAAAACAUUGUAGUCGUAUUUUUUUUUCUUAUUCUUUUAUUGUAGCUCAAGCAGGCAUAGCUAGCAUAUAUAUAUAUCGCACAUGAACUGAGUACAGGAUAUACAAACGCGUACACAUGCCUUUAUUGUUCUCCACAUCAACACAAACUCAUACACGUCAGUACGUAGUGAUCGAGUACACCAUCAUUCGAUUUAGUUCUCUAUAGUGCCGGCCGGUCUCCACACACCUAACACCGCCUACCAGCACGCAGGUUAAGGACGCGACGCUUUUACUUUGGAGAGGGAAAUAAAAAUAAUAAAAAGCUGGCCACCGAUCGAGCCCGUGUGUCCGGCGGUCGUCGUCGCCGGCGCGGCUGAUCGGCCGGGGGCCUCACGCGGCGGUGACAGCGAUCUUCAUGCCGGCCUGGCAGUGGCCUGGGAAGCUGCAGAUGAAGUAGUUGGCGCCGCGCUUCAGCGUGACGCGGUCGUUCCCGGUGGUGAGCGCCCUCACGCCCUUGGGCGCGCUGCAGGACUUGUACCCCGCCGCGCUCACGGGCACCACGUUGUGCGCCUUGGCGUUGUACCUGAACGCUGCACGACGAAGAACGCGUGCACACGCAAAACAGCAGCCAUCCAUGGUAUGGACCUUAAUUUAGGGAACGAAGCUGGAGGGGCCGUGACACUGACAUGCAUGAACAAAGAGCUAGUAGCACUGACCGAGCACGUCGCCGGCGCGGAACCGCUUGCCCUUGGGCCAGUUGGCGGUGUUGAAGCUCCACCCGCCGCGGUCGCCGACCGUGUACACCGCCGACUCGGCCAACUCGCCGUGGAGGAGCACGCAGAGGAGGACCAGCGCAAGCGCGGCGGCGGCGCCGCUGCCACGAGCACUGCCACUUCCCUGAGCCGCCAUGGAUGCUGCUCUACGGUACGAUGCCGUCUCUCACGUACACAAGGGGCCGGGCUAGCACUGGCUUGGAGCGAAGUGAUGAGAGUGAGCAGAGCUGUAGUGCUCAGUGCAC